UAUUUUAGGACUUCUUUUUUAUCUGCCUAGCAAAUAGCAUUGUCUUAAGAUUUCCUAUGUCCAAGUUUAAUAUUCAGUAUUUAUUUUAAGUGAUAAUCACCACUGUGCUAUAUAGCAUAUUAUGGCUACUUCUAGUUUCCUGCAAAAUUUUUUUGUUUUCCCUGGAGUUAAUAAUUUUGGCCUAAAAUUUACAGCUCUAAGAAUUCAUUGCUGCCGUUGCUGCUAACAUAUUACAAGGGGUGCCUAAUUCCAGUAACUUGUUACAGGACAUCCUUAGAUCUUCAUGUUCUGUAAUCAGCAGGUAAAGGUGUGAGCACUAUGAUACUUUCUUUGGUUUUAUUACUCUCUGAGCAUGACUAGGGAGCAGAAAACGUCUAGAUAUUUCUCGUGUCUUGAUUAUAGGAAUUUC
Molecule: long non-coding RNA, 409 nt
Filed under: Pan troglodytes (chimpanzee)
Lineage: Eukaryota; Metazoa; Chordata; Mammalia; Primates; Hominidae
Description: long non-coding RNA NONPTRT015872
Source: RNAcentral